Molecule: non-coding RNA, 23 nt
Filed under: Arabidopsis thaliana (thale cress)
Lineage: Eukaryota; Viridiplantae; Streptophyta; Magnoliopsida; Brassicales; Brassicaceae
Source: RNAcentral
UCCUACAUGUGAUGAGAUGUGCA